This is a long non-coding RNA of Dermochelys coriacea (leatherback sea turtle), 2119 nucleotides long. RefSeq lists it as uncharacterized. The transcript is spliced from 3 exons. NCBI's taxonomy places the organism in Eukaryota, Metazoa, Chordata, Testudines, Dermochelyidae. The record is from RefSeq and is a predicted model, not a curated record.
AGAGCUAGAAGGUGGUUCCUAUAAAUGCAGGCAGCUCACAACAGGAAGUGGUAGUCAAAGGGAGAGAAGCUGAAGAAACUGCUGUUCUAUUUGCUGGGCCCUGAGUCAGAGCAAGGAAGCCAGCAGGGAGGCCUGGGAGAGACCCUGACUGAACAGGGAAGAGGCUGAAGAAUAGCAUGAAAGAGGGCAAAAGGUUUUGAUUUUGUGUUAAGACAUUUGUGGACUUUGUUUGGACAGCUGUUACCAUAGAAGGGGGUGGACAAAAGACUGACCUGGCUAGAGGACUGAAUUAUGAUAGAGACACCAUGAGAGUGCUGGAGUGACCAUUCUCAGGGGGCUUGGUGAGAGAGCUGCGAUGCCACACCUGCCUAAUGUUAUAACUGAUAGUUCCUUGCAAGUCCUGCUGUGUCCCAGAAGAAGUCUCAAAGACAGAUGCCGCAAGUAAUUUACAAGUUUUUCUCUACAGGAAGAAGAGCUGGAGAGUUGGUCCCAUCCUGUUCCCCUACUGUUAAGUUAUAUGCAACAGUACAAAGUAUAUCAAUUACAACAGUAAUUUGUGAUGCUAUGCAUUGACUAACAAAGGAGCACAAAGAAAAGGAACAAUGGAGGCACGACUGAACAAUCUGGAGUUAUUUAUUAGGAAAAGUAAGACAAAGUACUGUUUCAACAUUCAUACUGAACAAAACCAGAAAAAUAAACUACAGAAAAGUAGGUCCAUCAUACUGAAGUUGGCUUAUGGCAAUACAGUACAAAGUAGUAAAUUAAAUCCAAACUUAAUUUAUGCAAGCAAGCAGUAAAGAGUUGUAUACAGUUUUGAUAGGGAUGGAUUACAUUGUAGGCACAAUCAAUUUGGCCACAAUGAAAAUACUUAAUUACAUUAUAUCUAUUCUGUACAUUCAAUAAUGAGCAGCUAUAAAAGGAAAAAAUAAAUUAAACAAUUUACAAGAGAUGUACUACAGUUUACAUAAAGGUAUAAUUUAAUAAAGUUAAUACAAAUUUGCAGCACAUUGUACUUUUUACAUCAUAUCUUCAGUGUCGGAACAGUAAACAAAUAAGCUCAGACAUAAGUACAAUACAAUAGAAUAAGGCAACUUAACUGAAAUGGCUCUUAUGGAGAACAUCUUCCUCGUGUGGGUUUGGAGUUUGAUUUACUAUCCCUUUUGCUAAGGAACUAAAAACUCUGAAUGUAUGAUUUGGUCACUAGAAGGCCUACAGCUGGUGAGAAAAUACACAUGGCUAAAAUGACAAAUGUAGAAACAGAUGGUGCUGACUAUCAAAAGACAAUGUUUUGCUUAUGUCCCAUCUCAGUCAACACCAAAGUAAUGCAAGUUUUCAGGUUCUUGGUACUGCAAAUUUAAUUUUUUUUCCCCAAACAUCCUCAUUCCCUACAAAAAUCUGUGUUUAAAUGAGUCUUUUGUAAUGUUCAAUCUGAAGCCAAUGUAACUGCUUAAAGGCUUUGUAUUUACAAAGGUCUAAAAUAUCCAUGCUGAAGGAAUUGUGAAAUUUGAACAGAUUAAAACUUAUUACUGCAGAUUAACAAUUCAGAAAUCCUAUUUCAGUUUAUUUUAUGGAUAGGACUACUUAACAAGUUAACCUUUAAAAUUAACUAAUUCACAAUUUUCAACAAAAGCGAUUAAUAGUUAGUGAUGGCUGUACUUUUUGAAGUGCUAACACAGAAGGACACAGUAAGCCCACAGCAGUUGGUACUAAAACUUUGUCUACUCUAAACAGCUACAAUGAUAAAGCAUGUGAAAGUAUAAGAUUAACAUCUAAAGCUAGUUUUAAAACUAAAAUUCUAGAAAUGGAAAGUGAUCCAUGUCAUAAAAUUCACAAAUUGAAUGUAAUCAGCUUUACAGAAAGCCAGCCCCAUGAAUGGCUCUUAACCUUAAUGAAUUUCAAUCCAAAUAUAUAAAAAAGGAAGCUUGACAUAAGGCCAUGAGAAAUUGUUGCAAUUUGACAAAUUUCAAAUCUAUCAAAAGGACCAGGCCAUAAAUAUUAAUUCUAUUUACAACUUAAAUUUCUAAUUUAAUUAAAUUUCAACUUAAAAUUCUAAAUUUUUCCAAAUGAUUUAGCACCAGCAGCAAUAUGCAAAGCAGCACUAUUUUCCCCAUUUGCGUGU